UGUUAUACAUGAUCAAUGCAUUGAUCGAUUGUAUUAUCUAAAAUUCUUCGGCCAAUAAAAGUUGGGAAAAUCAUGUUGAAAGGCGAAUCCACCAGUGAAGAGGGCCCCAGCAGUAAUUGGCGUAAAUAUCAAGAUUCAAAUUCCAAUUUCAAUAUCAAAACGAUUAGUAAAUUCAAUGCACUUUGUCUUUCCGUCAGCGCAAUAGGAGCCAUCCAUUACUAAUCCCACACGCACCGCCCUCAUCAUCUUCUAACCAGACUCCCGACCGACUUCCGACCGACUCCUCUUUCUGCAUUUACUAUGUGAAGUCAAUUCUUUUAUUUUGGAUAAAGAGAGUGCAUCGGCAAUAAGGGUUUUGAUAAAAAAGUGCAAAAAACAAAAAUAUAACACUUAACAAGUGUACCCACAAGCAAUCAAGUUUCAUAAAAUGCCAAUUUGAACUUAUUAUUAGCUACAUAAGCCUGAACCCGUCUUUCACGUUAAGCGAAGAACUCGGUCUUCGCAGAGAUAUUAGUUAGUCAAGCUUUGAUGCCUUUAUACAUGGGCCAGAGAGUGUCAAAUCUGCUUAGCUAUAUAUGGUGUUAUUUUUCCACAGGCAAUGCCAACUAAUAAGUUCCAAUCACAUGUUCUUUCAAUGCGAGGCACAGCACAUGUAGAUAUCCGUGACACAUCAAUCUGUUCUAUCUUUUGGCUUUUUUAAAGAAAAAAUGAGUGGGGAUAAUUUUUUCCUUAAGAAAUGUGAAUUGAUUACACAUUUCUUCAAUAUUAGUGAGGGUAUAAAAUAUAAAUAACAUUUUAU
Molecule: long non-coding RNA, 799 nt
Filed under: Citrus x clementina
Lineage: Eukaryota; Viridiplantae; Streptophyta; Magnoliopsida; Sapindales; Rutaceae
Description: Citrus clementina (C. clementina) long non-coding RNA (CCLE_LNC004082)
Source: RNAcentral